Long non-coding RNA from Anguilla rostrata (American eel), 2637 nucleotides. RefSeq lists it as uncharacterized. NCBI's taxonomy places the organism in Eukaryota, Metazoa, Chordata, Actinopteri, Anguilliformes, Anguillidae. The record is from RefSeq and is a predicted model, not a curated record. The transcript is spliced from 2 exons.
ACCAUGUUGUUUGUGCAUUGAAUAUGACGUCAUAUAUGCAGUGCAGCUGCUGAAAUGUGUAGUAGGACUGCCAGCUGUCUGCUCUUUGUUUUAGGCUGUGCUGAGUAGCCGUGCAUGCAUGUGUGUGUGUGUGUGUGUGCGCGCGUGCGUGUGCAUAUGUGUGUGUCUGUGUGGAGUUUUAGCCUAUCAUCCUGUGCUUUGUGUGUUUGUGUGUGAGAGAGUGUGUGAGGGUGCGUGUGCGCAUGUGUGUGUCUAUGCGGAGGUUUAGGCUAUCAUCCUGUGCUUUGUGUUUGUGUGUGUAUGUGUGUGUGUGUGGGCGUGGGAACACACGUGUGUGUAUAAAGGCUCAGGCUAUCAUCCUGUGCUUUGUCUAUGUGUGUGCGUGUGUGUGUGUGUGUGUGCAUGCGCAAGUGUGUGUAUGUAGGCUCAGGCUAUCAUCCUGUGCUUUGUGUGUGUGUGUGUGUGUGCGUGUGUGUGUGUGUGUAUGUAGGCUCAGGCCAUCAUCCUGUGCUUUGUGUGUCAGUGGGGCAGCCUGGCAGACGGAAGCAGUCUGGCACAGGGCUGUCCAGCUUGCAGAUAAUCUUGUAUAUGGACUUCUUCCAGCAGGGGUCAGUGUCACGCCCUGCUUGGAUGGCAGUGAAGAACUCCCUCAGGGCCAGGUCAGAUAUCUCCACAAACCUGUCUGGGACCUGGAGGACAGAGAGCAAUAUAAAUGUGGGGCAACAAAGAAAUAGAGUACCGAUACGGCUGAAAUGGAUGAGCACAGUGGACAAUCGCACAGGCUGUUCCAAAGCUACCAAGGCUUUUCAGAAACAAUGAAGCCAAGGGAUGAGGCACUGGAUGCAAAUUCAAGUAUUAUCACAAUACAAUUUUUAGCGAAUACUUUCACAAAACAGUUAUGCUGCUUUCAAGCUAAUGCUUAACAACUCUCAGAAAUCAGAUUUGUAUUUUGUUGCAAAUAUACAGCUUCCAAAUGAAAUAAUACAUAAUUAUGAAAUUAUGAUUUUAAAGUGCAUACUAUCUCAGCCCAUUUUUUUCAAAUUUUUUGGAUCAAAAUAAUGAUACCAUUUCAACUUAGUUGACUUUGAGUCGACUGAGUUUAUCACAGAAGAUUAGUGACCUCUUCUUCCGGAAAAAAAUUCCAGACUUCCAAUAAAUGUCCACGCUAUAUGGGUAAUAUCGGUGCCUUCAAAUGCUCCUCAAACCAUUUAUAUCUAGAAAAACUCUGGCCGGGGGUAUCAUCACUCCAAAAGACACCUCAUUCUGGAGGGAAGAAGCACUUUAACAUGGGGUGAAAAUGAUCUUUUUUCCAAGCCAUGCCAGGAAAAUGCACCCCAAAGAACCAUCAGAAACCUUCACUGUUGGAACACUGCUGUGCUUAACGUUUGUACACUACACUACACUAUAAAUGCGUGCCUAUAAAUGCGUGCCUUAACAGACACACACACACAGACACACGCAGACACACACACUGAUGCACACACGCGCACACACGCUCACUGACGCACGUGGUAGUCGUUGCUCUUGUUGUAGUGCAGGUUGAGGAUGCGGUAGAGCUCAGAAUCUCGGCGUAGCCGCAGCGCCGCCUCGCCUCCGCCCAUGACCCCCUCCCUGACCGCCUGGCGUGCGAAGCGCUCCAUCUGGAUGUAGAAGAACUCUCUGAAGUUGCUGAACCACUUGAUGAGCUGAGAGGUGAUGCAGCGGUUGAACUGGAAGAGAGAACAAAGUAAAUACGACGUGUUGGAGCAAACUUCCCUAUUCGUAUGCUAAGAGAACUGCCACGGAAUUCCUGUCCAUUUGUCAGUUAUUUUGGGAAAUGGAAUGACCUAAAUUUCUCUAGAUUAAAGCCAUUUUCUCAUUUUAAAGCCUUUAAAGCAAUCUCAUUCCGAUGGAAGCCAGCUCGGAGGAAGACACAUAAAUACAGUUAAGAGGCCACUACAGUCUGCAUCACAUUAUGCAUUUGCAUUAACUCAAAGUCAUUUACAACAUUCACAUAAUCAGAAAUAACAGGUUUGACGAUGUUACUUACAAAUGUGACAAGUUAAAAAUGGCUCCUUUGUUUCUCAAGUAAGGAAGUGGUUAAAUACAUAUGCACCUGGACAAGGAAGUACUUUGUACAAUAUGCAUGAAGCCACAAACAUACCAGUAGGCCAUUCCAGCCAAGUGCCAAUCAGAAGGACCUGUAUAUGCUAUAUGUGAAUUUCUACAGUGUUUGUUUCCAUGGCUGCUUCUAUAUUCCGUCUCAGUGAAACACAGUUGUUGUAGUUUUAAAUAAUUAAUUAAAAUGUACACAUUCACCACACAAAGAUAAAGUAAUUACAUUUUUAAUGCCUGGAAUGAACCCAGUAAUAACUGUAGGCAGUUACAUUUACUACCAAUUCACCUCACGAUGAAUGCCAUAGAUGACUGCAAAAUGUAGGUAAUGAAUGAAGUUUAAUUAAUCCAGAGACCCCCAACACUGAGCACUGUACCAACAUGCAAGGUCUCACUUGAGCUGAAUUAUUAUUUAUUAGCAGUUUAUUUAUUUAGAGAGGCCCUUUGAUUUUAAUGACUUCUGAAGGAGAGGUGAUUUACAAUCAAGGUCGUUUUUCACGAGUGGGGAAAAGAAAAGAGGCGAUGUUCAGAAGGACAGGGUAC